AGCGAACGCUGGCGGCAGGCUUAACACAUGCAAGUCGAACGGGCAUCUUCGGAUGUCAGCGGCAGACGGGUGAGUAACCCGUGGGAACGUACCCUUCGGUUCGGAACAACUCUGGGAAACUGGAGCUAAUACCGGAUACGCCCUUAUGGGGAAAGGUUUACUGCCGAAGGAUCGGCCCGCGUCUGAUUAGCUAGUUGGUGGGGUAACGGCCUACCAAGGCGACGAUCAGUAGCUGGUCUGAGAGGAUGAUCAGCCACACUGGGACUGAGACACGGCCCAGACUCCUACGGGAGGCAGCAGUGGGGAAUAUUGGACAAUGGGCGCAAGCCUGAUCCAGCCAUGCCGCGUGAGUGAUGAAGGCCUUAGGGUUGUAAAGCUCUUUUGUCCGGGACGAUAAUGACGGUACCGGAAGAAUAAGCCCCGGCUAACUUCGUG
RNAcentral lists this ribosomal RNA (435 nucleotides) under uncultured bacterium. RNAcentral describes it as "partial 16S ribosomal RNA". It matches the Rfam family "Bacterial small subunit ribosomal RNA", at positions 29 to 507 of the family's 1533-position model. The record is from RNAcentral.